RNAcentral lists this non-coding RNA (244 nucleotides) under Halalkalibacter wakoensis. RNAcentral's name for it is "Bacillus wakoensis T-box sequence". It matches the Rfam family "T-box leader". Rfam says of the family: Uncharged tRNA acts as the effector for transcription antitermination of genes in the T-box leader family. T-boxes are found upstream of many aminoacyl-tRNA synthetase genes and some amino acid biosynthetic genes usually in Gram-positive bacteria. The record is from RNAcentral. Lineage: Bacteria; Bacillati; Bacillota; Bacilli; Caryophanales; Bacillaceae.
ACAAAAACGAAGAAGAGGAAAAGUAAUCAUUGAUGUAACAUCAACAGAGAGCCGUGGUGCUGAGAUGCGGUGUUGUUACCUUUGACGAAGCUCGCCUCAGAGUACCAAUCUGAACGAAUGUUUUCUAUUAAGAUUGGUCGAGUGUACACAGCACUCGUUAUCAAAACAAUUAAGAUUAAAUAGGGGCUUUCUCUAUUUAAUGAAUAAGGGUGGUACCGUGGAAAGAAGUCUUUUCGCCCCUUUU